RNAcentral lists this ribosomal RNA (698 nucleotides) under Acinetobacter sp. BCCO 40_FK65. Its description in RNAcentral is "bacterial SSU rRNA". It matches the Rfam family "Bacterial small subunit ribosomal RNA", at positions 95 to 788 of the family's 1533-position model. The record is from RNAcentral. Lineage: Bacteria; Pseudomonadati; Pseudomonadota; Gammaproteobacteria; Moraxellales; Moraxellaceae.
GCGGCGGACGGGUGAGUAAUGCUUAGGAAUCUACCUAUUAAUGGGGGACAACAGUUGGAAACGGCUGCUAAUACCGCAUACGCCCUACGGGGGAAAGCAGGGGAUCUUCGGACCUUGCGUUAAUAGAUGAGCCUAAGUCAGAUUAGCUAGUUGGUGGGGUAAAGGCCUACCAAGGCGACGAUCUGUAGCGGGUCUGAGAGGAUGAUCCGCCACACUGGGACUGAGACACGGCCCAGACUCCUACGGGAGGCAGCAGUGGGGAAUAUUGGACAAUGGGGGGAACCCUGAUCCAGCCAUGCCGCGUGUGUGAAGAAGGCCUUUUGGUUGUAAAGCACUUUAAGCGAGGAGGAGGCUACCGAGAUUAAUACUCUUGGAUAGUGGACGUUACUCGCAGAAUAAGCACCGGCUAACUCUGUGCCAGCAGCCGCGGUAAUACAGAGGGUGCGAGCGUUAAUCGGAUUUACUGGGCGUAAAGCGUGCGUAGGUGGUCUUUUAAGUCGGAUGUGAAAUCCCUGAGCUUAACUUAGGAAUUGCAUUCGAUACUGGGAGACUAGAGUAUGGGAGAGGAUGGUAGAAUUCCAGGUGUAGCGGUGAAAUGCGUAGAGAUCUGGAGGAAUACCGAUGGCGAAGGCAGCCAUCUGGCCUAAUACUGACACUGAGGCACGAAAGCAUGGGGAGCAAACAGGAUUAGAUACCCU